RNAcentral lists this ribosomal RNA (254 nucleotides) under uncultured bacterium. Its description in RNAcentral is "partial 16S ribosomal RNA". It matches the Rfam family "Bacterial small subunit ribosomal RNA", at positions 524 to 776 of the family's 1533-position model. The record is from RNAcentral.
UACGUAGGCAGCAAGCGUUGUUCGGAGUUACUGGGCGUAAAGGGUGCGUAGGCGGCUUUUUAAGUUUGGUGUGAAAUCUCCCCGGCUCAACUGGGAGGGUGCGCCGAAUACUGAGAGGCUAGAGUGUGGGAGAGGAAAGUGGAAUUCCUGGUGUAGCGGUGAAAUGCGUAGAUAUCAGGAGGAACACCGGUGGUGUAAACGGCUUUCUGGACCAUAACUGACGCUGAUGCACGAAAGCGUGGGUAGCAAACAGG